UAGUGCAAAUGUUUCUCAGUUUCUGCCAAUAUUUGAAUGCCAGCAAUAGCAUUGUGUUAGAGCAGUUCAGAGAUUAAUAAUUUCCCUUUUCACACAGCACCUGACCUCUAAUAAACUUGUUCCAUCUAGUAACAGUGUAACAUUUCUGAGAGUUUCAAGGAGCAGUCCAAGGUGUGGUUUAGAGUGGCAGCAUAUUCCUGUUCUCACACAGGUAGUGUUGCAGAGGUUUUUGAGUAACUUUUCCCUGGAUUUAGAGAAGUCCCAAAGAGACCAGUGGCCUCUCAAAAUGGUGCUGCAUUUCUGCCUGUCACUUUCAGGGCUCUUUAUGACCACUUGUGCUGGGUGUCUAGCAAGAGCAGAGCUCCUAAAAGUGGGGAGAAGCAAGUCCAUGCUGACAGUAUUUUGCUGAUUGCCAUGGUAACUAGGGGCAUUACUGUGCCUCUGAAUGGUCGAGAUGUGCAUUGCCAUCCAGUGCUCCUCAGAGGAAUGCUCUUAUCGUAACCAUAAGAGGAAUUCUCUAGCACAUCCCAGCAUUGCACAAAUUGUCAUAGACAACAAAUAUGGGGUAGAAUUGCCCUCCCUGCCUAUUCCUUAGGAGCUUGUGCUUGUGCCCCUGGUGAAACAUUUCUAUCAUUUCCACCACUGCUGACUUGUUGCAGCUUCUACACCCCAUUACUUUGCUGUGCUCUUGCACUUAAGGGGUUGUACUGAGCACUGCAACUCAGUGCCUACCACAAUCUCUCUGUGACAUUGUAACUUUCUCUGAUUUAUGAUACUGAGGACAUUAUGAGGAAAAAAUCCCCCUUUUUAUUUUUGUGAGUAAAUUUAUGCUGUUUCCAUAAAUUUUUAAAUUAUUAUUAUUAUUAGCAGAGGAUGGAAAGGAGACAAAAAUAUUCUAACUUCUCCAUUAAACUAUACAAUGAAACAAGAAACUUUUCUGAUACAUUGAAUUAUGGACUGUUACUGUUUACACAUAGCUAUGUACCCUUAUUUCUAAACAUCCUCACGGACUCUAGAACAUCUAUAACAGAAUUUUUAAAAAUAGCUGAAUGAGGGGAAAGAAAAUGUCUGUAAUCUAUACAAAGCAAAUGAAGAUGUGUUGUGGGUUUUGCUGGAUAAAUUAGAUAAAACAUGAGAAAAUUAUCCAUUGCUCUGAAAGACACAUUUGAAGUAAAAAUGCCCUAUUAGGUUUUUAAUAAAUUCUGGGGUGUAUUGAGUAAUAGCUGGCCACCAUACACCAGGGUUUGGGCAGGAUAAAUCCUUCCAUAGUCAUGUCAAGUCACAUGAACCUUCUUCACAAGUUGUUUAAAUAAACGCUGGCCAAUUGACUGUAUCACACUGUCUGAAAUGACUAAGAAAACAUAACCUAGUGCAAGUGAAGGAAGGUAGUAGCUGGCAAAAUCUACUCGGGUUAGCUGCUGAAUUUGCAUCUAUCUACAAGCAUAAAAUGUUUGAACAUUAUGGGCAAUCAUUUUUAACUUAGUUUUUUCUGAACCAGAACCUAGAUUAAUUUAACAGAGAAACAGAAAGAUUUUUUACGAUGCAGUUCCAUUUUAGUUUGCAGUGAAAUUCAGUAUCUGUUGAAUUAUCAGUGACUGCAUGUUGGCACAAAAAAGAAUGAAAUAAAUUAUUCAUAACAAUUAGCAUAGAAGUGUAACAUUUCACAGGAGGGAUUAAACUGGAGUGACUCAUUCAAUCUAUCCUGCUGUUUACAGAGGUUUCAGUAACCUAGUGAGGGUGGAAAAAUUUUCCAUGAGACUCAGGCCUCAGGUCAGAUUUUUUAGAAGAAUUUGAAAGGAUGGUGAGAUUUUGACUGGAAGAUGGUUGUGAAAGAACUUUCUGGACAUAGAUCAAGCUGAAGAAUAAAGUUAAAAGAUAAUUCCUAUAACUAAGAGGCUAUAGAAGGAUGAAACUGCUAGGACAAAGAUAAUGUAGUCAUUGGAGAUGAGGAUAUGGAGAUGGAAACAAUCAUAAUUAGGAAGGAAACAAAGGGGUUAAUGAUUUUAAGAUUAAGAUUAUUUAAUUAAGGUGAGCAGAAACUGAUCUAACUGUUUGGAGCACUGUGAAUCAUGCUGAAGAAUGAGUUGUUGAGUUUCUUCUCUUUAGGCUUCUAAAGAUAAUCAUUGGCAGUGAGUUCUUAAUGUUUUCAUUAAUAAUCUGGGCAGCAAAAUAACACUUUGUUAAUGCAAUUUGCUGACAACAUAAAUUUGGUAAAUAAGAACAGUACAGAGAAAAGUCAGAACUGUGCAGACACAUAAAUACGCAAUUUUAAACAGAACAAAAAACGUAAACACAUCAGAUUCAAUAACAUAAGAAGCACAUAAGUAAGGCUUACACAUGCCUCUCCCAAGUUUACACUUUCUAACACAUCUCUGGGUCUUGGGCUAAAGCUCAGCCCACUCCCUUGGUUAGGGCUAGGAGAAAGACAAACUUUAGAAAUCUGGCAAACCAUGGUGUUUAAAAUAAUGUCUAGGCCAUUUAUACCUGUUUGGGAAUAAGGUUCAGUCCAAGACCAGGUCUUGGGCUAGAUUUUGGGCUUAGUGUUCAGAGAGGUUAGAACCUCUCUCACAAUCUGUUCUUAAUAUGAAGUACCAUUGCAUUGGGUUUGUGAGACAAGAUUUAGGUAGUGGGGAGGGUACAGGGAUGGCUUCUGUGAGAAGCUGCCAGAAGCUUCCCCCAUGUCCAGCAGAGUCAAUGUCAGCCAACUCCAGGAUGGAUUUGCCUCUGGCCAAGGCCAAGCCCAUCAGUGAUGGUGGGAAAUGAUAUAAGAAAUGGAAAACUGUUGUGUAACAGCAGCAGUGAAGAGAUGAGUGAAAUCAUGUAGAGAAACAGCUCUGCAGUACCAAGGUCAGUGAAGAAGGAAGGGAGGAAGUGCUCCAGGCACCA
Long non-coding RNA from Passer domesticus (house sparrow), 2886 nucleotides. RefSeq lists it as uncharacterized. Lineage: Eukaryota; Metazoa; Chordata; Aves; Passeriformes; Passeridae. The transcript is spliced from 3 exons. The record is from RefSeq and is a predicted model, not a curated record.